GAUGAAGAACGUAGCGAAAUGCGAUAAGUAAUGCGAAUUGCAGAAUUCAGUGAGUCAUCGAAUCUUUGAACGCACAUUGCGCCCUGUGGUAUUCCGCAGGGCAUGCCUGUUCGAGCGUCAUUUCAACCCUCAAGCUCUGCUUGGUUUUGGGCCCUGCCCGCUGCGGCCGGCCCUAAAGACAGUGGCGGUGCCGCCUGGCCCUGAGCGUAGUACAUCUCUCGCUCCAGUGCCCGGUGGUAGCCUGCCAGAACCCCAACUCUCGUGGUUGACCUCGGAUCAGGUAGGGAUACCCGCUGAACUUAAGCAUAUCAAUAAGCGGAGGA
Molecule: unclassified non-coding RNA, 323 nt
Filed under: soil metagenome
Description: partial contains 5.8S ribosomal RNA, internal transcribed spacer 2, and large subunit ribosomal RNA
Rfam family: 5.8S ribosomal RNA (bases 1-120)
Source: RNAcentral